This 863-nucleotide ribosomal RNA is filed under the name uncultured bacterium. RNAcentral describes it as "bacterial SSU rRNA". It matches the Rfam family "Bacterial small subunit ribosomal RNA", at positions 40 to 909 of the family's 1533-position model. The record is from RNAcentral.
CGGCAUGCCUAACACAUGCAAGUCGAACGGGAGUAGCAAUACUCUAGUGGCGGACGGGUGAGGAAUACGUAGGAAUUUGCCCUUAAGUGGGGGAUAACCCGGGGAAACCCGGAUUAAUACCGCAUGAUCUCGAAAGAGCAAAGUGGGGGAUCGCAAGACCUCACGCUUUUGGAGAAGCCUACGUCGGAUUAGCUAGUUGGUGAGGUAAUGGCUCACCAAGGCGACGAUCCGUAACUGGUCUGAGAGGAUGAUCAGUCACACCGGAACUGAGACACGGUCCGGACUCCUACGGGAGGCAGCAGUGGGGAAUAUUGGACAAUGGGCGAAAGCCUGAUCCAGCAAUGCCGCGUGUGUGAAGAAGGCCUUCGGGUUGUAAAGCACUUUAAGUUGGGAAGAAAAAAUUCCACCUAAUACGUGGAGUCUUGACGGUACCGACAGAAUAAGCACCGGCUAACUCUGUGCCAGCAGCCGCGGUAAUACAGAGGGUGCAAGCGUUAAUCGGAUUUACUGGGCGUAAAGCGUGCGUAGGCGGUUCGUUAAGUCGGUUGUGAAAGCCCUGGGCUCAACCUGGGAAUUGCGGCCGAUACUGAUGGACUAGAGAACGGUAGAGGGAGGCGGAACUCCAGGUGUAGCGGUGAAAUGCGUAGAUAUCUGGAAGAACACCGAUGGCGAAGGCAACCUCCUGGGCCUGUUCUGACGCUGAGGCACGAAAGCGUGGGUAGCAAACAGGAUUAGAUACCCUGGUAGUCCACGCUGUAAACGAUGAGAACUUGACGUCGGGUCGCUUAGCGAUUCGGUGUCGAAGCUAACGCGCUAAGUUCUCCGCCUGGGGAGUACGGCCGCAAGGUUGAAACUCAAAGGAA